AACGAAUCUUUUGUAAUAUAGAAUUUAAUCUUUUUAGGUUAUCCUCUUAAAAUCUUUGGGACUAACGGCAAUAUGUGAUAAGGACUAAGGAGAAAGAAAGAAAAAAUGUGGUCGUCAAGCUUCUUAGCUUUCUCUCCUCCUUCCAAGCUUUCUCUAUUGUCAUCAUCUUCUUUUGCUUCCUCUUCUCAUCAUCGAAAAGUCCAAACCUUCCUCUGUUUUACUCAAAAUCAUUCGUCCGCUGUUGGCAUCAGUUUCAGCAAGAGACACUUGAAUCUCUCGAUUCUCACCCUCUUGUUCAAUGGUGGGUUCUUGUUAGAUAAGGCUAAAUCCAUGGCAGAAUCGGGAGAUCUUCAAAGAUACACCGACUCCAAAGAUGGCUUCACUCUUCUCGUACCCUCUUCUUGGACUAAGGUGGAGAAAGCAGGGGCCAAUGUUCUCUUUGAGGAACCAGAGAAGCGAAGCAACAAUAUAGGAGUUGUGGUUAGUCCUGUCCGAAUAAAGAGUCUUGAAGACUUUGGUACUCCUCAAUUUGUAGCUGAUAAGCUCAUCAACGCAGAGAAGCGAAAGGAAAGUACAAAGGAAGCAGAAGUUGUAUCAGUAGGAGAGAGAUUAGGACAAGGACAAGUGUACGAAUUUGAAUACAAAAUUGAUAGCACGAGAGGAGGAAUCAAAAGGGUUUUCUCGGCUGCGUUUGUGAGCUCUAAGAAGCUUUAUAUACUGAACGUUGUUCAUUCAGACAGUCCAGAGAAUCCAUUGGCUUCAAGUACGAGAGUGUUGUUGGAACAAGUUCUUCACUCCUUUGAUGCUCUGCCUCUCACAUAAACCCACCAUCCAAAUAAUAAAUCUUUCUUGUAGAGCCCAUUUGGUAUUUCUGGGCUUAUUCUUGAGUUUUAAGGCUUCUAGCAAUCUAUUAACCCCAAUAAUUUUGAGGUUUCUUUUAUUACGAAUAAUGUGGUGGGACUAGUUGAACACUUCUUUCUUUCUCAUGUAUAUGUCAUGUAUUUGAUUAAGAGCAACAAUUAAAAUGUGAGCUCCAUACAACUAUAUGAAUGGAACUUGAAAAAAAGGAUUUGUUUUCCGAGUCAAUGAUGAUUUUGUAAAAAUAAUGAAUAUAAAGGAUUUUGUUUUCGAGUCA
Molecule: RNA transcript, 1135 nt
Organism: Brassica napus (rape)
Lineage: Eukaryota; Viridiplantae; Streptophyta; Magnoliopsida; Brassicales; Brassicaceae
Gene name: psbP domain-containing protein 2, chloroplastic
Exons: 4
Source: RefSeq, a predicted model, not a curated record